UCAAAGCCAGCAGUGCAGCAUCUUCCAGCUUCCAGUCCCUGUUUCUGACUCUAAACCUCUUGCCUCCCUUUUUAAAAGAACCUCUGAUUGCAUUGGGCCAUCUGAAUAAUGCAGAGUGGAUGCCAUGUCUUAGAAUUCAUAACAUAAUCACAUCCUAGAGAAUCUCCUUUGCUAUAUCAGAUUGGUUUGGUAACACACCAUGAUGCUAAGGAUAGAUAUACAAAGAAGUCACCGUUUCCAUCAUCCAGACCACCAAUAGUACAGUUCAGGAACCAUCACAGAACAUCGUGAGUUGAUCAUUUUCUGCUGAGGAAGAAGAGUUAUGGAACUGUAUGCCACAGAUUCUCCAUUCAGUUCCACCGAUCAGUUACAGUUCCUAGGCCAAGUGACACC
This is a long non-coding RNA of Tupaia belangeri chinensis (Chinese tree shrew), 393 nucleotides long. RefSeq lists it as uncharacterized. The transcript has 3 exons. The record is from RefSeq and is a predicted model, not a curated record. NCBI's taxonomy places the organism in Eukaryota, Metazoa, Chordata, Mammalia, Scandentia, Tupaiidae.